CUCAUUGAUGCCGAUGGAAAUUGGUUCUGAGGCUUAACUUCAUAGGAGUACAUAGCCAUAUUUCAAGAACUACAUUUCCCACAAUGCUGUACAAAAGUCAGUUUUCUGCUUCUCUCACGUGAGUGCAAAUACCCGACCCUUUUGCCCAACAUGCCUCUCGAAAUGGACUCUACUUCCCGUGAUGCGCUGCUCCCGGUUACGGGAGCCGACGGGAGGCGUCUCCCAUCAGGGCGCGAAUGCCACUAGCAACGAACAAGAAUUGCCCGGCUGUGCUGGGCCUCCGGCAGCGAAAAACACUCAGAGUGGCGAGUGCUCCUGUCUUGGCUCCCUCCAUCCGCGCGAGUCCCAGGCGGUUCUGGAGCCCCCUCGCCUUCGUCACUUUCCUAAGCUUUGCUACGCGUUUCUACCGCCUGCGGGAGCCGCCGCACAUCUGCUGGGAUGAAACACAUUUUGGAAAGAUGGGGAGUUAUUAUAUUAACCGGACAUUUUUCUUUGAUGUCCAUCCACCUUUGGGGAAGAUGUUAAUAGGACUUGCUGGCUAUCUGAGUGGCUAUGAUGGGACUUUUCCUUUCCAGAAGCCUGGGGACAAAUAUGAACAACAUAACUAUAUAGGAAUGAGAGCAUUCAGUGCCUUCCUUGGUUCAUGUCUGAUCCCCUUCUGCUACCUCACUGUGCUGGAGCUGUCCAGAUCAUUGCCUGCAGCAAUAAUCACUGCUACCAUCCUGAUUUUUGACACUGGAUUCAUUACAAUCUCACAGUACAUUCUUCUUGACCCCAUUUUGAUGUUCUUCCUCAUGGGAGCUGUACUCAGUAUGGUUAAAUAUAAUUCCUAUUCAGAUAGAUGCUUUUCUGCCCCCUGGUGGUUCUGGCUGUGUUUGACUGGGGUGAACCUCGCUGGUGCAUUGGGGGUGAAAUUUGUUGGCCUUUUUGUUGUCUUUCUGGUUGGCCUGAAUACUAUCUGUGAACUUUGGCAGUUAUUGGGAGACCUUAGUCUAUCACUGGUCACACUGGGAAAGCACUUCUUGGCUCGUGUACUUUGCCUCAUUAUACUGCCUCUUGUCCUCUAUACAGCUCUUUUUGCAGUUCAUUUUGCAGUGUUAAACAGAAGUGGACCUGGUGAUGGUUUUUUCAGCUCUGGAUUUCAAUCCCGGCUCAUUGGAAACAAUCUUCAUAAUGUUUCUGUUCCAGAAUAUGUAGCAUAUGGCUCUGUGAUAACACUGAAAAACCUUCGCAUGGCAGGAGGAUACCUUCACUCCCACUGGCACCUGUAUCCUGAAGGAGUGGGAGCAAGGCAGCAGCAGGUCACUGCAUAUUUACACAAAGACUUGAAUAACUUAUGGAUUAUAAAGAAAUAUAACUUGAAUAGAGAUUAUUCAGACCUUUCCUUCCCUGUGGAGUUUGUGAAACAUGGAGAUAUUAUCUGUCUGGAACACAAAGAGACAUCAAGAAAUCUGCACAGUCAUCAGCAUGAAGCCCCCUUGACAAGGAAACAUCUCCAGGUGACUGGAUAUGGCAUUAAUGGAACUGGAGACUCCAAUGAUUUCUGGCGAAUUGAAGUUGUAGGAAGAAAGGAUGGGAAACGUAUCAAAGUCCUGCGCAGUCAAAUACGAUUGAUUCAUCUAGCAACAGCCUGUAUCUUGGGCUCGACUGGAAAGACACUACCCAAAUGGGGCUGGGAACAAGUGGAAGUCACUUGCACUCCAUAUCAGAAGGAAACUCCAAAUACUCUUUGGAAUAUUGAAGAUCACGUUAAUUCCAGAUUGCCCAAUAUCAGUUUGGAUGUUUUGAAACCUUCCUUUCCAGAAAUACUGCUGGAAUCUCACAUGGUUAUGAUCCGGGGAAAUAGUGUCCUUAAACCAAAGGAGAAUGAAGUCACAUCAAAACCCUGGCAUUGGCCAAUCAAUUACCAGGGUCUGCGUUUUUCUGGUGUCAAUGAAACAGAUUAUAGAGUUUAUUUGCUUGGAAACCCGGUGAUUUGGUGGAUGAGUCUAAUUGCUAUUGGAUUAUAUCUUACAAUGAUAAUAUUUAUAUCAGUGGUUGUGAAGCGAGGAGUUCAGCUGACAGCUGAACACAAAGAGCUUGCUCAAGUUUUGCUGCAUGGUGGAGGAAGGAUUAUCCUGGGAUGGUUUCUCCAUUAUUUUCCUUUCUUCAUGAUGGGCAGAGUGCUCUAUUUCCAUCAUUACUUCCCUGCAAUGCUUUUCUCCAUCAUGUUGACAGGGAUUACGUGGGAUGUAUUCCUGAAAUUCUGUGCUUGGUUUUUUUCAACCAGCAUCCAAGCUAAAAAGAUUUAUAACUACGGGAUAGGAGUGUUGGUCAUGCUCAGUAUGUAUAGCACUCUAAGGCAUCUCUUAUGCCAUUUCAUCUUCUAUGUUCCUCAAGAAACCAGGGGAUCCUGCAUGAUCCAUGUGCCUAGAGAGUCUACAUAGAUGCAAUUAGAUCUAAGGCCAUUGCCAUUCUCUUGUCCCAAGUGGAAAUGAAGCAGGUUCCAGAAGUCCAUGAACAAUUCCAAGCUCCCACUGAAACCAACUUUUACCUCUUCCAUCCUCUAUCCUAUGGGAUGACAGGACCUCUGGCUUCUGAUCCCAGCAGCUCAAUGGCGGGCCUUAAAUGGCUGGAAACAUGGGAGUUUUAGAUCCAACUUUUUUUUAAAAAAAGAAAGGAAUAAAAUAGAAGAACAGAUGUGGUGAAACAUUUCUCUACCUUUGAUGAUUGCUAUGAAGAAUUUUCUCUUAAACAUUUCUGAGUGGAGACAGUGAACUAUUGAAGAAGGAGGCAGCAGUGUGGGAGAACUUCUGACAGAAAGGCUCAUUGCUCCAGUCAUUUGAGUCAGCUGCUACUUUAAAGUUUGAACAGUCCAAGCAAUAUUUAAACACUCAUGCUGUCUUAUCAAGACAAUAUACAGCAAUGUCAUAAUGUGUGAUUUUGAGGAUGCCUGUGUUUCAAAAAGAUGUAGAUUAUGCAAUCUGUCUCUAUUCAAGUGUGACAUGACACACAGGGAAUAUCAACUGUGUUUUUUAAAAAUGGUCUUUUGCAAAUGGGAUAGUUCAGAACCAAUAGUUUAUAGUGUUUUUAAAGGGAAGUUGUCUCUCUGUGUGUACACAUAUAUACCCUCAAGAGGCAUCUCUUUCUUGCUUUGAUCUUAAAUGAUUGGACUUAAAUGUUUCAGUUGGUUGAGGCAUUACAGGUUACUGUGCAUUCCUUUCUUCUAAGACAAAAGGCAACAAGUUAUUCCUAUUUUUGGAUAAUACUUCUGUCUCUGAGCACUAGCUACUACUUGCAGUUAAGAGAAUCUUACAACUACCAAGAAGAUUCAAAGAGUUAUUAAAUUAUAAAUUCCAGUCAUCACACCACUAUUCUGAGGAUUUUUUUAGUGGAGAGAUGUUAUGUUUUUGGUCUCCAGCUCUAAAUUCCUCUGAGAUGCCUUUUGAGCAAGGAAGGCCACAAAGCUGCAGAGAUUAUAUAAUAGCUUAGAGCAUUUGCUAGUGCUGGCAUUGAUCCGAUUUAUCCCAUCACCUAAGGGAAAGCUGACGUGAAUGAAUGUAGAUUGUGCAAAAUAAGUGGUAAUACUUUGGUAAAGGCAUAAUUCUUUUGAGAAGUCUUUUUCUCUUGCUAUAUUAAGCUAUCUGGAAAAAAGGGUUUUUAGUUUCAGAGUAGCUUGAUAAUAGAGCAAAACUCUUCAUAGAGGAGAGAGUUUUUGUGAUUGCAUGUGGAAACUCUGAAAAACAAUCUGACUAAAAAACAUUUCAGUGUGCAAUGCACCACAAUUUUUUCGAAUGAAUUUGGCUCCAGCUCUCGUUACAUUGAUCACCUAUGUCCAGAUUGCUGAGAUAUUGCAGUAAUUCAUUUUAGCAUGUGCAUGAAACUUUGAAGCCUCCCAAAUUAUAUUCUCCAUGCCAUCCUUCAUUAAUUGGCUAUCUUGGUUGGCAUGGAGACUGCUUAUAUCCCCAUGAUAUGAUUAUGUUGAGUAAAAUUUAGUCCCAAUUCAAAAAAAGAAAGGAAAUACAACUGUGCUUAUUAGUCUGGCUUAAUCUAAUACUAUUGUCACAAUGUGCUUGUGAUGGGUUUCAAUUUUUAUCAUUUGCAGCCUUCCCAAAUCUGACAGCCUCCAAAUACACUGGGAUUUCAACUGGGAUUGCAUAAACACAGCCAAGCUCUAUAAUGUCUGGGUUCAAUGCAUAUUAUAGUCUUGGAUCAACUGGAAAGCAACAAGUUGAGGAAGGCUACUUUGCAUAAUGACAAAAAGUCACAGGUUUCUUUUGUGUCUUGAGUAUUAUAGGAAAUCAUUGCAAUAGAUGGUAUAUUUUCUAUGGCAAGAGUCCAUCUUUUAUUUGGUAAUGAGAGACUUAGUGAUAUGCAGGAAUAAAACAGAAAAAUAGAAAUAAUAGGUAGACAUGACUGUGCUUUGAAUUUGCUGUUUCUUCUAUCAGCAGAUGGAGCAAAACAGGAAGACUUCAUGACAUUGGUAGCAAUUCAAUGGGUUAUAGGUAGAUAAUUUGAUAGCAACAGUUGUUAUAAAUUCUUGACCAUUUUCUAUUAUGUGCUCAAGUGUUACUCUUGAUUAGAUUUCUAAAUCAGGUUCCCAUAAAAUGGUUCUGAACUAUUCAUGUUUUAUAGUAUAUAUGCUCACAUGAUUAGAAUGUACUUGGCUUUUUAAAGGAGGGCAAUCUUUUUUAUCAAUUAAAAUUAUAUUAUACAAAAUGGCAUUUUAACAAUUUAAUUUAGAAUUUCAGCAAGGCUGCUGGACUCUUUUCUUCUGGAUUCUGCAGUACUCCAGUGGAUAAUCGUUCAGUGUAGCUUUGCCUGAUGUUCUGAGAAAUCUGAUCAUUCAGCACAUACGUGCUAUGGCUAAAAGGCAGUACUGCAUAGAACAUUUUUUUGAACAUGUAUAAAGUAGUUCUUUUUGAAUUUGAUGCAAUAAGACUAGUUUUCCAUUGCGCAAAAAGAAAUAUCCGAUCUGACAUUAAUUGCUGUCAUUCACAGCAUAAUGUCAAUAAAUCCAAUAUUGCAGGUUAGCACUGGGUGACCUCUUGCCUGUAUGAAGAUUAUCCCCCUUAGCUCUUCUACCAUUACACUGCAAACAUUUGGUUUCUGUGGGAAAGAGUAAUUCUAAGUGAAUGUGCCUUAGCUCAGUAUUUUGUACUUGGGAUGCAUUAAUACAUGUUUAUGUUCCUCCUGUAGCGUGCCUUUCCACACAUCUGUUAUUGGCCCUCUUGUAUUUGGAAAUCUUACCUUAAUUGGUUUUUUUCUUUUACCGCAUAUAAUUAACUAGCUUCAUUCAUUGUUUUGAAGCCUUUUUCUUUAGAACUCUUGAAAUAUUGUACUAAAAGAAGUAUGCAGAUCAAAGAAUGAGUUGGCUGCAAAAUCUCCUUUGAAGUAGGCCAUUGAGAUUUUGCAAAAUAUUUCUAUUAUUUCAUAGUAUUCAAUUUCAUUGCUCUUCACAAUGUUUGGAUCAUUCACUUUCCUAAAACCAUAUGACUCCUACUGUUGUUUCUCUUCUUCCCAUUUGUGGUCUUAAUGGAACAUAGACCAUUUUAUCAUGAUUAAAGGCAUGACUACAUAAAACUUUUUGUUUUGAGUCCUUGUUUUUCCACAUUAGGAUUGGACUGCAGUUAUGACACCACAAUGGGAUAAAGAAGGCGAAGUCAGCAAUGCUGUACAUUCUCAUUGGGGGUCAUUACGGCAGUGCAAUAGCCUCUCUGGAUAGCAAUUUUUUUUUUUAAAAAAAAAGGUUUUUAUUCCUAUGGUUAUUGUUUAAGAAAUUCAUGCCUGAAAAAAAUCACGUGAUUGAUAGGAGCCCUGAUGCCUUUCUUUAUACAAUCUUUAUUAAAAUAAUGUCAACUCUGAAGUUACAAAACAGUGAAUAAGCUUUUGAUUUCUCUAUUUAAAAUGUACACAAGAAGGAAAGAGGGAAGAAAUAGAUGCCAUUGAAAGCAUAAUCUUAACAUGGAGUGUGGGAGGAGAUUGUGCUUAUUCAAAUGAGUCUCUUCCACUUACUGAAAUGGUUUUAAGAUUUGCAGUCAGACUCUCUGGUUUCAAUAAGAAAUAAACAAUGGUCAAUCCCCCAUUUAAGAAAAAAAAAUAGCUAUUAUUUCACACUCUCUGCCCUUAGGUAAAACUCACUCUCCUACAUUAUGAAUUUCCUUAUUGAUGCUGCUAAUAUUGAAGUUGUUAGUGUGCUUGGUUGUAAUUUGCAUAUGAUUACUGCCUGUAUGUUUAAGUUACUACAUGUCAUUGCUCUUCAGUGUACAUGGUCCUAAUAUAAGAAAGCUGCCUUUGAAUUGGCACUGUUUUUUUUAAAGAGGGUUAAUUGAUAAAAAGAUUACCUUUUAAUUUUUUUAAUAAAUACUUUUUUUGUCUCAAA
RNA transcript from Crotalus tigris (Tiger rattlesnake), 6361 nucleotides. It is a transcript of the gene named protein O-mannosyltransferase 2, with no coding region annotated. Lineage: Eukaryota; Metazoa; Chordata; Lepidosauria; Squamata; Viperidae. The record is from RefSeq and is a predicted model, not a curated record. The transcript is spliced from 22 exons.